GUCGAGCGGUAACAGGUUAAGCUGACGAGUGGCGAACGGGUGAGUAAUGUAUCGGAACGUGCCCAGUCGUGGGGGAUAACUGCUCGAAAGAGCAGCUAAUACCGCAUACGACCUGAGGGUGAAAGCGGGGGAUCGCAAGACCUCGCGCGAUUGGAGCGGCCGAUAUCAGAUUAGGUAGUUGGUGAGGUAAAGGCUCACCAAGCCGACGAUCUGUAGCUGGUCUGAGAGGACGACCAGCCACACUGGGACUGAGACACGGCCCAGACUCCUACGGGAGGCAGCAGUGGGGAAUUUUGGACAAUGGGCGCAAGCCUGAUCCAGCCAUGCCGCGUGCGGGAAGAAGGCCUUCGGGUUGUAAACCGCUUUUGUCAGGGAAGAAAAGGUUCUGGCUAAUACCUGGGACUCAUGACGGUACCUGAAGAAUAAGCACCGGCUAACUACGUGCCAGCAGCCGCGGUAAUACGUAGGGUGCAAGCGUUAAUCGGAAUUACUGGGCGUAAAGCGUGCGCAGGCGGUUAUGCAAGACAGAGGUGAAAUCCCCGGGCUCAACCUGGGAACUGCCUUUGUGACUGCAUGGCUAGAGUACGGUAGAGGGGGAUGGAAUUCCGCGUGUAGCAGUGAAAUGCGUAGAUAUGCGGAGGGACACCGAUGGCGAAG
This 657-nucleotide ribosomal RNA is filed under the name uncultured Roseateles sp. RNAcentral describes it as "bacterial SSU rRNA". It matches the Rfam family "Bacterial small subunit ribosomal RNA", at positions 61 to 720 of the family's 1533-position model. The record is from RNAcentral. Lineage: Bacteria; Pseudomonadati; Pseudomonadota; Betaproteobacteria; Burkholderiales; Sphaerotilaceae.